UUCCCAUACCGAACACGGAAGUUAAGCUCUUCAGCGCCGAUGGUAGUUGGGGGUCUCCCCCUGUGAGAGUAGGACGCCGCCAAGC
This 85-nucleotide ribosomal RNA is filed under the name Bacillus pumilus. The record is from RNAcentral. Lineage: Bacteria; Bacillati; Bacillota; Bacilli; Caryophanales; Bacillaceae.